Gasterosteus aculeatus aculeatus (three-spined stickleback) is the source of this 282-nucleotide non-coding RNA. The record is from RefSeq and is a predicted model, not a curated record. Lineage: Eukaryota; Metazoa; Chordata; Actinopteri; Perciformes; Gasterosteidae.
CUUGUAAACUUAUUAUGUAUAGUGUUAAAUACAUUCGAAUAAUGUAAAGAAAGAGUAUAAAUCGUAAUUUAUUUCAUUAUUUUGUGUUGUUCGUACCUGUCAUUUCAAAAAGCUCCUAAUUAUGAGCGUGUGCCGAGAUGCUAGCAGGUGGAGGAAAUUCCUUUGAUUAGCGCCCUUGGAGAGCGGAUUGAGUGUUCACGGUGUUCAAGAUGUUCACGACGUCAUGGUGCUUAUGGUGCUGGUCGAGAGAAACAAAAUAAAUCAACACCCGUUUGAAACACU